ACGAACGCUGGCGGCGUGCUUAACACAUGCAAGUCGAACGGAAAGGCCCUGCUUUUGUGGGGUGCUCGAGUGGCGAACGGGUGAGUAACACGUGAGUAACCUGCCCUUGACUUUGGGAUAACUUCAGGAAACUGGGGCUAAUACCGGAUAGGAGCUCCUGCUGCAUGGUGGGGGUUGGAAAGUUUCGGCGGUUGGGGAUGGACUCGCGGCUUAUCAGCUUGUUGGUGGGGUAGUGGCUUACCAAGGCUUUGACGGGUAGCCGGCCUGAGAGGGUGACCGGGCACAGUGGGACUGAGAUACGGCCCAGACUCCUACGGGGGGCAGCAGUGGGGAAUAGUGCACAAUGGGCGGAAGCCGGAUGCAGCAACGCCGCGUGCGGGAUGACGGCCUUCGGGUUGUAAACCGCUUUCGCCUGUGACGAAGCGUGAGUGACGGUAAUGGGGAAAGGAGCACCGGCUAACUACGU
This 466-nucleotide ribosomal RNA is filed under the name uncultured bacterium. Its description in RNAcentral is "partial 16S ribosomal RNA". It matches the Rfam family "Bacterial small subunit ribosomal RNA", at positions 29 to 506 of the family's 1533-position model. The record is from RNAcentral.